AGUGAACGCUGGCGGUGGGCCUAACACAUGCAAGUCGAACGGCAGCACAGUAAGAGCUUGCUCUUACGGGUGGCGAGUGGCGGACGGGUGAGGAAUACAUCGGAAUCUACUUUUUCGUGGGGGAUAACGUAGGGAAACUUACGCUAAUACCGCAUACGACCUACGGGUGAAAGCAGGGGAUCUUCGGACCUUGCGCGAUUGAAUUAGCCGAUGUCGGAUUAGCUAGUUGGCGGGGUAAAGGCCCACCAAGGCGACGAUCCGUAGCUGGUCUGAGAGGAUGAUCAGCCACACUGGAACUGAGACACGGUCCAGACUCCUACGGGAGGCAGCAGUGGGGAAUAUUGGACAAUGGGCGCAAGCCUGAUCCAGCCAUACCGCGUGGGUGAAGAAGGCCUUCGGGUUGUAAAGCCCUUUUGUUGGGAAAGAAAAGCAGCAGGUUAAUACCCCGCUGUUCUGACGGUACCCAAAGAAUAAGCACCGGCUAACUUCGUG
Molecule: ribosomal RNA, 492 nt
Filed under: uncultured bacterium
Lineage: Bacteria
Description: partial 16S ribosomal RNA
Rfam family: Bacterial small subunit ribosomal RNA
Source: RNAcentral